CUACGGGCGGCAGCAGUGAGGAAUAUUGCACAAUGGGGGGAACCCUGAUGCAGCAACGCCGCGUGGAGGAUGACGCAUUUCGGUGUGUAAACUCCUUUUAUAUGUCAAGAAAAUGACGGUAGCAUAUGAAUAAGCACCGGCUAACUCCGUGCCAGCAGCCGCGGUAAUACGGAGGGUGCAAGCGUUACUCGGAAUCACUGGGCGUAAAGGACGCGUAGGCGGGUUGGUAAGUCUGAUGUGAAAUCCUACAGCUUAACUGUAGAACUGCAUUGGAAACUACUAACCUAGAGUAUGGGAGGGGGAGAUGGAAUUAGUGGUGUAGGGGUAAAAUCCGUAGAUAUCACUAGGAAUACCGAAAGCGAAGGCGAUCUCCUGGAACAUUACUGACGCUAAGGCGUGAAAGCGUGGGGAGCAAACGGGAUUAGAUACCCCAGUAGUC
RNAcentral lists this ribosomal RNA (439 nucleotides) under uncultured bacterium. RNAcentral's name for it is "partial 16S ribosomal RNA". It matches the Rfam family "Bacterial small subunit ribosomal RNA", at positions 339 to 795 of the family's 1533-position model. The record is from RNAcentral.